GUUAGCCUUGUAUUAGGAUUUACUCCGAAAGCAAGGAAACUUACAACAAAGAGUCCCUCCCGACUGUUUACCAAAAACACAGCACUCUGCUAACUCGUAAGAGGAUGUAUAGGGUGUGACGCCUGCCCGGUGCUCGAAGGUUAAUUGAUGGGGUUAGCAUUAGCGAAGCUCUUGAUCGAAGCCCGAGUAAACGGCGGCCGUAACUAUAACGGUCCUAAGGUAGCGAAAUUCCUUGUCGGUUAAAUACCGACCUGCAUGAAUGGCGUAACGAGAUGGGAGCUGUCUCAAAGAGGGAUCCAGUGAAAUUGUAGUGGAGGUGAAAAUUCCUCCUACCCGCGGCAAGACGGAAAGACCCCGUGGACCUUUACUACAGCUUGACACUGCUACUUGGAUAAGAAUGUGCAGGAUAGGUGGGAGGCUUUGAGUAUAUGACGCCAGUUGUAUAUGAGCCAUUGUUGAGAUACCACUCUUUCUUAUUUGGGUAGCUAACCAGCUUGAGUUAUCCUCAAGUGGGACAAUGUCUGGUGGGUAGUUUGACUGGGGCGGUCGCCUCCCAAAUAAUAACGGAGGCUUACAAAGGUUGGCUCAGAACGGUUGGAAAUCGUUCGUAGAGUAUAAAGGUAUAAGCCAGCUUAACUGCAAGACAUACAAGUCAAGCAGAGACGAAAGUCGGUCUUAGUGAUCCGGUGGUUCUGUGUGGAAGGGCCAUCGCUCAAAGGAUAAAAGGUACCCCGGGGAUAACAGGCUGAUCUCCCCCAAGAGCUCACAUCGACGGGGAGGUUUGGCACCUCGAUGUCGGCUCAUCGCAUCCUGGGGCUGGAGCAGGUCCCAAGGGUAUGGCUGUUCGCCAUUUAAAGCGGUACGCGAGCUGGGUUCAGAACGUCGUGAGACAGUUCGGUCCCUAUCUGCCGUGGGCGUAAGAAGAUUGAAGAGAUUUGACCCUAGUACGAGAGGACCGGGUUGAACAAACCACUGGUGUAGCUGUUGUUCUGCCAAGAGCAUCGCAGCGUAGCUAAGUUUGGAAAGGAUAAACGCUGAAAGCAUCUAAGCGUGAAGCCAACUCUAAGAUGAAUCUUCUCUAAGCUCUCUAGAAGACUACUAGUUUGAUAGGCUGGGUGUGUAAUGGAUGAAAGUCCUUUAGCUGACCAGUACUAAUAGAGCGUUUGGCUUAUCUUU
Molecule: ribosomal RNA, 1176 nt
Filed under: Campylobacter jejuni
Lineage: Bacteria; Pseudomonadati; Campylobacterota; Epsilonproteobacteria; Campylobacterales; Campylobacteraceae
Description: partial 23S ribosomal RNA
Rfam family: Bacterial large subunit ribosomal RNA
Source: RNAcentral